Molecule: long non-coding RNA, 495 nt
Organism: Puntigrus tetrazona (Sumatra barb)
Lineage: Eukaryota; Metazoa; Chordata; Actinopteri; Cypriniformes; Cyprinidae
Exons: 4
Source: RefSeq, a predicted model, not a curated record
CGAAUUUAUAGCGGUUUCAUGUGAGAAAGCAUUGAAGAGAUUCUAUUGGCUCCAUCGGGAGGCUGAGUACACCUGUCAGCCAAUCAGCUGCGAGUCUGCCUCUGCGCUGAAAAAUCACGGGCCGUCUACAGAUCAAUCAGCAUAUCAUUUUGAGCACGAUUGUGAGCAGAAAGCAAAGGCUGCUUAAAUCUGUCCUCACUCUGCCACCGUCUGGGGAAGAAAAAGACCACAGACAUCUCCAAACCCACGGAUGUGGUUAGCAACAUGACAGUGCAGAAGCCACGUUCCGUUGACCUCCGCCACCAUCUCCAACGUCUGAAACGAUCCUGGGAUCAGGUCAUACACGUCAGUCCGGUGAAUGUCUCGGCGUGAAAAUGGACGGUGUGAAUGUCUGCUUCAUUGCCCAUCCCAAACAGGUACCAAACAACCCUUUCUCCCUCCACCAUUUCUAGACCAUGAAGAUUUGCGUAGAGCUUCCCAUUGAUCCCUGUCAAA